UAUACGGAGAGUUUGAUCCUGGCUCAGGACGAACGCUGGCGGCGUGCCUAACACAUGCAAGUCAAGGUAGCGAUACACUUCGGUGUAUCAAUGCCUGGCGCACGGGUGAGUAACACGUGGGUAACCUACCCUUUGGUCUGGGAUAACAUCUGGAAACGGAUGACAAUACCAG
This 172-nucleotide ribosomal RNA is filed under the name Desulfurispira natronophila. RNAcentral's name for it is "Bacterial small subunit ribosomal RNA". It matches the Rfam family "Bacterial small subunit ribosomal RNA", at positions 1 to 172 of the family's 1533-position model. The record is from Rfam by way of RNAcentral. Lineage: Bacteria; Pseudomonadati; Chrysiogenota; Chrysiogenia; Chrysiogenales; Chrysiogenaceae.